Molecule: ribosomal RNA, 465 nt
Filed under: Vreelandella stevensii
Lineage: Bacteria; Pseudomonadati; Pseudomonadota; Gammaproteobacteria; Oceanospirillales; Halomonadaceae
Description: partial 16S ribosomal RNA
Rfam family: Bacterial small subunit ribosomal RNA
Source: RNAcentral
CCUACGGGUGGCUGCAGUGGGGAAUAUUGGACAAUGGGCGAAAGCCUGAUCCAGCCAUGCCGCGUGUGUGAAGAAGGCCUUCGGGUUGUAAAGCACUUUCAGUGGGGAAGAAAGCCUUGGGGCUAAUACCCUCGAGGAAGGACAUCACCCACAGAAGAAGCACCGGCUAACUCCGUGCCAGCAGCCGCGGUAAUACGGAGGGUGCGAGCGUUAAUCGGAAUUACUGGGCGUAAAGCGCGCGUAGGCGGUCUGAUAAGCCGGUUGUGGAAGCCCCGGGCUCAACCUGGGAACGGCAUCCGGAACUGUCAGGCUAGAGUGCAGGAGAGGAAGGUAGAAUUCCCGGUGUAGCGGUGAAAUGCGUAGAGAUCGGGAGGAAUACCAGUGGCGAAGGCGGCCUUCUGGACUGACACUGACGCUGAGGUGCGAAAGCGUGGGUAGCAAACAGGAUUAGAUACCCCUGUAGUC